UACGAAGGGGGCUAGCGUUGCUCGGAAUCACUGGGCGUAAAGCGCACGUAGGCGGAUUGCUAAGUCAUGUGUGAAAUCCCCCGGCUCAACCGGGGAAUGGCGCCUGAUACUGGUGGACUCGAGAUCGGUAGGGGUGAGUGGAACUCCAGGUGGAGCGGUGAAAUGCGUAGAGAUCGUGAGGAAGACCAGUGGCGAAGGCGGGUCUCUGGACAGUUCCUGACACUGAGGCACGAAGGCCAGGGGAGCAAACGGG
This 253-nucleotide ribosomal RNA is filed under the name uncultured bacterium. Its description in RNAcentral is "partial 16S ribosomal RNA". It matches the Rfam family "Bacterial small subunit ribosomal RNA", at positions 524 to 776 of the family's 1533-position model. The record is from RNAcentral.